CAGCCACUCUGCUCACCUGGACACACAGCUGCUCCUCAUCUGCAAUCAAGUCACCACUUAAGCCUCCCCGGCUCGGUUUUUCCUGGUGUUCUCCAGUUUGGGUCUGUUACCGACCCCGCCCGUUCUCGAUUCUCCUGCCUUGCAGCGUUCCUGGAAACCAGACCUGCCUCCUGUCUCAGCCCUUCAUGUUUAGCAGUGGACCUGGACCUUUUUUGACUUUGUCCAAUCGAAGAAAAACCGUAUCUGGAUAAGUUACAUCUAACAACCUGCUAACAAAGCAACAGCUGAGCGACAACUAACACUAUUUGGGGACGAGGACGAGUACUUCCUGGGGCGGUGCUGUCACUGCUGGUGUAUCAAAGCAAUGAUCCUGGCAGUGAGAACGGUAGAGAGCCUACAGCAUCAGACAGCAUGCAUUGACAGGCUUCAUGGUGUACAUUCUGCAUUUGGACACAUCCACUUCCACAAACAUCCCAUCAAUUCCAAUUGAGGAGCAGGAUUUCCAGCCUUACAGUUGCACAAAAUAGGCAUAUUUUUCUUCAGUAGCUGGUUUCUGCAGGGUGUAUCCCCAAUGGGGCAAAGCAGCCCCGACCACAAAAGACAGGGCAGCUGUAAUCGACGGACGCCUUGGCUCACAUCAAAGCACUCGCCAAGCUGAGAUUUCAUCUCUCUUCGCCCACUGUUUCUGUCCCCAGCCGUCAUUCCGGGCGAGCGUUUGAGCUGAAGCCAUGUCCUGAUCACAGAGAUGUGGUAGAUAGUGUGAUAUGGCUAAACUGCUGACACAAGGCUCUCGGGCAGAUGGCACCUUUUGAUUCUGGGCCAAAAUGUUUCCUCCGCUGGCAAGGAACUCAAUUUUGUUGCUAUUCAU
Perca flavescens (yellow perch) is the source of this 868-nucleotide long non-coding RNA. RefSeq lists it as uncharacterized. The record is from RefSeq and is a predicted model, not a curated record. The transcript is spliced from 4 exons. NCBI's taxonomy places the organism in Eukaryota, Metazoa, Chordata, Actinopteri, Perciformes, Percidae.